AUGUUUGUAGUUUAUGUAGAAUAAAGGUUUGUGGCACCUUAGGAGUGGAGUUACCAUCAAAGAUC
This 65-nucleotide transfer RNA is filed under the name Leptestheria brevirostris. RNAcentral's name for it is "tRNA-His". The record is from RNAcentral. Lineage: Eukaryota; Metazoa; Arthropoda; Branchiopoda; Diplostraca; Leptestheriidae.